This 599-nucleotide small RNA is filed under the name Ascomycota sp. SB30. Its description in RNAcentral is "eukaryotic LSU rRNA". The record is from RNAcentral. Lineage: Eukaryota; Fungi; Ascomycota.
GAAUAAACCUUUUCAUAAAGGGGGGAAGGGGGGGGUUUUAGAAGAUUCUUUUUUCCCAUAGGGGGGGGGGGGGGCGGGUCCUGACGGACCCUUUGAGGGCCCUUGACCAUUUUUGGCAAUCUGAAUAAAAAUUGCCCCAACUUUAAACUUUCAACUAAACAUGUCUUGAUUCUGGCUUCUAUUGUUAAAUAAAAACAAAACUUAAAACAACGAAUAAGGAGGUUCUGGCAUCGUCAACGAAUCUUUUAACGCACAUUAAGCCCAUAAAUUGCUAAAUUCCAGGCCUGUUCAAAUCUUUUUCGCCAUUGCGCCCUUUUAAUUCCGAAGGGCAUGCCUGUUCGAGUCCUUAAUCACCCCUCAAGCCCCCGGAUUGUCGUUGGACCGUUUGGUGGAAACCCCCCUCUUCUGGCCCACAGCUCCACAAUCCCACCACACCUGCCUAUUUUUAGAUGGGGCACACUGGAUUCUGCACGAAACCCCUCUCAAACAAAACGAACUUACAGGCGACGGAAUACCUCCCCUCAGGAAGAAUCUUCUUAAAGUUGACCUCUGAUCAGGAAGGGAUUCCCGCUGAACUUUAGCAUAACAAUGAGCUGAGG